RNAcentral lists this ribosomal RNA (484 nucleotides) under uncultured bacterium. RNAcentral describes it as "partial 16S ribosomal RNA". It matches the Rfam family "Bacterial small subunit ribosomal RNA", at positions 30 to 507 of the family's 1533-position model. The record is from RNAcentral.
AUUGAACGCUGGCGGCAGGCCUAACACAUGCAAGUCGAGCGGAUGAAGGGAGCUUGCUCCUGGAUUCAGCGGCGGACGGGUGAGUCAUGCCUAGGAAUCUGCCUGGUCGUGGGUGAUAACGUCCGGAAACGGGCGCUAAUACCGCAUACGUCCUGAGGGAGAAAGUGGGGGAUCUUCGGACCUCACGCUAUCAGAUGAGCCUAGGUCGGAUUAGCUAGUUGGUGGGGUAAAGGCCUACCAAGGCGACGAUCCGUAACUGGUCUGAGAGGAUGAUCAGUCGCACUGGAACUGAGACACGGGCCAGACUCCUACGGGAGGCAGCAGUGGGGAAUAUUGGACAAUGGGCGAAAGCCUGAUCCAGCCAUGCCGCGUGUGUGAAGAAGGUCUUCGGAUUGUAAAGCACUUUAAGUUGGGAGGAAGGGCAGUAAGUUAAUACCUUGCUGUUUUGACGUUACCAACAGAAUAAGCACCGGCUAACUUCGUG